GUGUCAGCAGCCGCGGUAAUACGGAAGGUGCAAGCGUUAAUCGGAAUUACUGGGCGUAAAGCGCGCGUAGGCGGCUUGGUAAGUCGGAUGUGAAAGCCCCGGGCUCAACCUGGGAACUGCAUUCGAUACUGCCGGGCUGGAGUACGAGAGAGGGGGGUGGAAUUCCAGGUGUAGCGGUGAAAUGCGUAGAGAUCUGGAGGAACACCAGUGGCGAAGGCGGCCCCCUGGUUCGAUACUGACGCUGAGGUGCGAAAGCGUGGGGAGCAAACAGGAUUAGAUACCCUCGUAGUCC
This 292-nucleotide ribosomal RNA is filed under the name uncultured bacterium. Its description in RNAcentral is "partial 16S ribosomal RNA". It matches the Rfam family "Bacterial small subunit ribosomal RNA", at positions 505 to 796 of the family's 1533-position model. The record is from RNAcentral.